This 300-nucleotide ribosomal RNA is filed under the name uncultured archaeon. Its description in RNAcentral is "bacterial SSU rRNA". The stretch from base 55 to 300 matches the Rfam family "Bacterial small subunit ribosomal RNA", at positions 550 to 795 of the family's 1533-position model. The record is from RNAcentral.
GGGAACGGCGGGCGGGUAGACGGGGGAAGACGGAGGGGGAAAGGGGGGUGCGGGUUGAAUGGCGGCAAAGCGAGGGAAGGCGGGUGAAUAGUGCAGAUGGGAAAUCGAGGGGCGCAACCCCGAAAAGGCGGCUGGAACUGGGAAUCUAGAGUGAGGGAGGGGAGAGCGGAAGUUCGCAGGUAGGGGUAAAAUCCGUAGAGAUGCGAAGGAACACCAGAGCCGAAGGGGGCUCUCUGGCCAUCAACUGACGCUGAGGCGCGAAAGCGUGGGGAGCAAACAGGAUUAGAUACCCCAGUAGUC